ACUGUGGCUCAGUUGGUAGAGCAGCUGAUUCGUAAUCAGCAGGUCGCCGGUUCAAGUCCGGCCAGU
This 66-nucleotide transfer RNA is filed under the name Oscillibacter ruminantium. It matches the Rfam family "tRNA". Rfam says of the family: Transfer RNA (tRNA) molecules are approximately 80 nucleotides in length. Their secondary structure includes four short double-helical elements and three loops (D, anti-codon, and T loops). RNAcentral also lists the same sequence under 8 other names. Lineage: Bacteria; Bacillati; Bacillota; Clostridia; Eubacteriales; Oscillospiraceae. The record is from RNAcentral.